GAUGAACGCUGGCGGCGUGCCUAAUACAUGCAAGUCGAGCGAACAGACGAGGAGCUUGCUCCUCUGACGUUAGCGGCGGACGGGUGAGUAACACGUGGAUAACCUACCUAUAAGACUGGGAUAACUUCGGGAAACCGGAGCUAAUACCGGAUAAUAUAUUGAACCGCAUGGUUCAAUAGUGAAAGACGGUUUUGCUGUCACUUAUAGAUGGAUCCGCGCCGCAUUAGCUAGUUGGUAAGGUAACGGCUUACCAAGGCAACGAUGCGUAGCCGACCUGAGAGGGUGAUCGGCCACACUGGAACUGAGACACGGUCCAGACUCCUACGGGAGGCAGCAGUAGGGAAUCUUCCGCAAUGGGCGAAAGCCUGACGGAGCAACGCCGCGUGAGUGAUGAAGGUCUUCGGAUCGUAAAACUCUGUUAUUAGGGAAGAACAAAUGUGUAAGUAACUAUGCACGUCUUGACGGUACUUAAUCAGAAAGCCACGGCUAACUACGUG
This 497-nucleotide ribosomal RNA is filed under the name uncultured bacterium. RNAcentral's name for it is "partial 16S ribosomal RNA". It matches the Rfam family "Bacterial small subunit ribosomal RNA", at positions 28 to 507 of the family's 1533-position model. The record is from RNAcentral.